GGAUAUAGCUCAAGUGGUAGAGCACAUGCCUAGCAUGCACAAGGUCCUGGGUUCAAUUCUCAGUACCUCCU
Molecule: transfer RNA, 71 nt
Filed under: Camelus dromedarius (Arabian camel)
Lineage: Eukaryota; Metazoa; Chordata; Mammalia; Artiodactyla; Camelidae
Also listed under: 1 other name
Rfam family: tRNA
About the family: Transfer RNA (tRNA) molecules are approximately 80 nucleotides in length. Their secondary structure includes four short double-helical elements and three loops (D, anti-codon, and T loops). Further hydrogen bonds mediate the characteristic L-shaped molecular structure. tRNAs have two regions of fundamental functional importance: the anti-codon, which is responsible for specific mRNA codon recognition, and the 3' end, to which the tRNAs corresponding amino acid is attached (by aminoacyl-tRNA synthetases). tRNAs cope with the degeneracy of the genetic code in two manners: having more than one tRNA (with a specific anti-codon) for a particular amino acid; and 'wobble' base-pairing, i.e. permitting non-standard base-pairing at the 3rd anti-codon position.
Source: Rfam by way of RNAcentral